RNAcentral lists this ribosomal RNA (119 nucleotides) under Neolamprologus brichardi. The record is from RNAcentral. Lineage: Eukaryota; Metazoa; Chordata; Actinopteri; Cichliformes; Cichlidae.
UCUUACGGCCGUACCACCUGGAGUAUGCCUGAUCUCAUCUGAUCUCGGAAGAUUAAUAGGGUCAGUCCUAGUUAGUGCUUGAAUGAGAGACUGCCUGGGAAUACCAGGUGUUCUAAGCU